UUAAAGAUAGGAAUGUAAAAAAAUGUUUUGUUUCUAUUUCUCUACUUACAGAAAUUCCAUUGUUCCAAGCACUUCAGCCUGGUAUGGAAAACUUUGCAAGAUCAUCGAAAAUCAAUAAAUCAGAAAUAAUUUUAUCAUUGGAAGCUGGAAGAUUGGAUUCAAUUUUUUUCUACAAUCAUCAUUAAAAAUAUACACUACAUAUU
This 203-nucleotide unclassified non-coding RNA is filed under the name Melitaea cinxia (Glanville fritillary). RNAcentral's name for it is "misc RNA ENSMCXG00005015791.1". Lineage: Eukaryota; Metazoa; Arthropoda; Insecta; Lepidoptera; Nymphalidae. The record is from RNAcentral.